GGCGCGGCGAAAUCAGGUUGAAUACAUCAGUUUUGGAUCACUGAAGUUAGACAACGUUGCGCGUGGUUGGUAUCCGGAUGGGUGACCAUCUGGGGGAAAUGCGAGCUGCUGACU
Molecule: ribosomal RNA, 114 nt
Filed under: Diaphorina citri (Asian citrus psyllid)
Lineage: Eukaryota; Metazoa; Arthropoda; Insecta; Hemiptera; Psyllidae
Source: RNAcentral